Molecule: long non-coding RNA, 2988 nt
Filed under: Neodiprion lecontei (redheaded pine sawfly)
Lineage: Eukaryota; Metazoa; Arthropoda; Insecta; Hymenoptera; Diprionidae
Description: uncharacterized LOC124294727
Source: RNAcentral
CGACUACAUCUUAGUCCACUUACUUAAUUCAAAAGUUUGAAAAAAGAAAUCGUUCUGAGGAGGGUCCAUAUCCGGGUCGAAACGUUAACUAAAAAUACGUUUUCUUAAUUGACCGAUCACCAAGACUCUAUAAUAUAUCACAUACGAGAUCGAGAAUUCUUAUUCAUCAGACAUUAAAUAGAAUACAGCAUAGGUAAUUUGAAGGUCGUAAACAAUAUUUCAAAGAAAUUAGGAACUUUAUUUUUCAUAUUUUAUACAUCGUAAUAUGGAUGAUAUACUUGACAUCAAAAUUCUCCACGAAUCUUAGGUUUCAUAUUAAUAUUAGCAUAAAUUAUUGUUAUAAGUUUCAGUAAUAUUAUAAAUCGGUAACUCACAGCUUCAUCUGAAUUGUUUAAAAUUCGAAUGAAUAUAUAUUGUUAUUGUUAAAAAUCAAAUACCAAACUCGAGACAAAUAGCAUAAAAAUAUUCCUUUUCGUUUUGUCCGUGCAAGAAAUAUUGCUUGAAGAUAUAUAUUAUUUAUUAGAAUAAUCACAACUUUCACUUGAUUUAGAAUCGUGUCUUUUUCUGUGCGCUAAAGCAGAACCAUCAAUAAAAUAAAAAUUCACAUUUUUAUAAGACUUGCUUCAUCAACAAUAAUUAUAUAGUUUGUACUUGGCAAAUAAAUUAACUUGCAUUGUUUCAUCUCACGCUUUUUUCCCUGACUAGAUUAGCUUCACUAUGAUGGAGCGAAAAAUUAAGAAACAUUUAUAUUGUUUAUAUAAUAUAUGCAGAAUACACUAUAGCGUUAUAUACCAUUUCAUCAUAUCUAAAUUUUCAAUUACAAUCUAUUUUUCUACACCGCAUUUAAAUUAGUCUUAUACAAUGAUUUUACCUAUUCUCAUUGUUGUACACUUGUGUUCAGUUGGUAUAUUGAUCUAAUACUGUAGGAAUAUCUUGACAUACAGCAUUUGCGAAUCGUUGUAGAAUGAUGAAGUGGCAAGUGUAAAACCUUUCAUAAUCUCCAUUCGUGCCCAUCAACAAAAAUUACAUUCCUUCAUCCAUGUAUUGAUCCAUUAAAAAUAUUAAAUUGAUAUUUCGAAAAGGAAAACAAACACGCAAAAAUACCAAUUAUUAUUAUACAAAUACAAAUCAAGAAAUAACUGACUUUUACAACUUAAGCUUAUUCAAACUGCGAUACACGUGGUCUUAAAUUACAUUUUUCGUUCAUUCCCAACAAACAUUAGUUCAGUUUUAAUGGCCUAUCUGUAUAGUUUAAUGUCUAUUGCACAUGUUGCUUUGUCAAGUAAAGUAAAUAGAACAGAGUGAAAGAUAAAAUUGGCAAAAAUCUAUUACACCAUUUUUAAUUUUAUAAAUUAUUUGUACAUGGUAAUUAUAAAUGUCAAUAAAAUUUUAUACGUUAGCAUUGAGAAGUCUGUUCUAAAGAAGGAAAAACUAUAACGAUUGCCGUACCAAAGCAAUGUUUGACUCGAGUUUGAAUUGGUUACAAUAGCUGUAUAAAAUUGUUGGAAGUAAUGGAACAAAAAUUAAUAGUUCGAAUUUAUAAUUUUUAUUCCAAUAAAUAUUAUUAUCUCGUGUUAUGAAAUUUUUCUUAACUCUGAAUCGAACGUAAAUUAAGAUAUACUUAUGACUUCUACACAGACACACAUAUCACUACAUAUUUCAAUAGUCAUGUCAUUAAUUGAAACACGCAUAUAUUCGUAUUUUACGGUAAAAAUUCAAACAAAAUCUUAUACUUUUAGCAUAGAUAAAUACAGAUUGAUAAACAUUAAGUACUACUUCAUUAAUACUCGUUUAGAGAAUAAAUUUGUAUUAUUUUGAAAGUAGACUGAGGUAUUGCUUUUUUGUACUAAAUUCUGGGUACUUCCUAAUUGAGUAUGAUUUGUGCCGAAUGAUCCUAUUUUUACACCAAAAUCCAAAACCGAAUUCCAAUUACAAGGAUACCGAGUUCUAUAGUUCCUGUUAGUCAAUUUAACUUCCUUUUCAGCAUUUCGGAAGCAACCGUUGUUUCCUUGUAUUUAUAAGAAACGUAAUCAAAUCAACAAUUUUCGUCCCAACUUUAUCCUGCAAUUACGAAAUUUUGAAAGAACCAUUAUAGUUCGCUUAUACAGCACAUCCUGUAUUAUAUAUUAUCAAACUUUCACCUAAAACUUAACAUACUUAAUCAUCUCAUAGUUGAUUUAGGUUACGUAUAAUCGUUUAAAUAAUUUAAAAUGCUAUUCUCUACCCUCUGAGACUACAUUAAAUUCUCUAAAACUUUUUUCCCAUAGCUUGGAAAUAUUGUUAAUGUUUCAAAAUGUAAAUAUCUUUAACACAAGUUUACAGCUAUAAAAUUAUUAAGCAAUCGGUGGUAUUGUUAGUAUUCAAAGUUUGAGAAAAAGAUAGCACAAACUCAUUUCAGAACAUACUUUUAACCCUUUUAACAUAUAUUUUUAAUUACCACUUUUCACUCUGCAGUCAUACUUUGACUGUACACAUAUUUAUGUGUGUGUAUUAUAAUAUAUACACAGACAUAGUUUUUGGAGUCAAACUAGAUUAGUUACAUUCAACCAAAUGAAAUUACCCCUAAAGCAGAUCAAAAAGAUUAGCCUAGAGAAAUUCUCUAGGGCAGUAGACUAUCAAUAUCGUUAUAUAUUUUCGAUUCUCUUUUUGGACAACAUCAACAUAAUUCUUUGCAUCAGUCUUCAAUCAGUCUUACUGGUGUGUGCAAUCAAUAUUUAUUACAACUUAGUUCAUUCUUUUCAAAUACCUAAACUACAAAACGAUCAAUUACUGAUAGAAUCCGUUAUUUCCACCCGAGCCAUUACUUUCUAUUCCACGAAAACUAAUAAUAUCCCUUUCCCUGUAUGCGAGAAAAUAAAUAGUCUACCUAACAAAAAGAAAAUUAUUAAAAAUUUCUGAAGUUCAUGUCCGAUUAAUUCUUAAGUAUACAUAUAUAGUGGCACCAUACUCGAAGAGGGAGAAACAAAACAAUAAAAUUUACACAGUCAU